Molecule: ribosomal RNA, 408 nt
Filed under: uncultured eukaryote
Lineage: Eukaryota
Description: partial 18S ribosomal RNA
Rfam family: Eukaryotic small subunit ribosomal RNA
Source: RNAcentral
CAAUAGCGUAUAUUAAUGUUGUUGCAGUUAAAAAGCUCGUAGUUGGAUUUCGAAUGGGAGCGGUGGGUCGGGUCCGCAAGGGCUCGUUACCUGUUUCGUCUCCGGUUCUUUUUCGGGAUUUGUUUCUGGCGUGGCUGGCAUUGAGUUGUCGGUGGCGUCGGGCCCGUCGUUUACUGUGAACAAAUUAGAGUGUUCAAAGCAAGGUGUGUCUUGAAUACAUUAACAUGGAAUAAUGAGAUAGGACUUUGGUGGUUUCGGUGAAAGCCGGAUAUUUUGUUGGUUUGCACGCCAAAGUAAUGAUUAAUAGGAGCAGUUGGGGGUAUUCGUAUUCAAUUGUCAGAGGUGAAAUUCUUGGAUUUCUAGAAGACGAACUACUGCGAAAGCAUUUACCAGGGAUGUUUUCAUUAA